GCUUGCAUAGCUCAAUUGGUAGAGCAUCCGGCUCAUAACCGGACGGUUUCGGGUUCGAGUCCCCAUGUGAGCACCA
RNAcentral lists this transfer RNA (76 nucleotides) under Butyricicoccus intestinisimiae. Its description in RNAcentral is "tRNA-Met". It matches the Rfam family "tRNA". From Rfam's summary of the family: Transfer RNA (tRNA) molecules are approximately 80 nucleotides in length. Their secondary structure includes four short double-helical elements and three loops (D, anti-codon, and T loops). Further hydrogen bonds mediate the characteristic L-shaped molecular structure. tRNAs have two regions of fundamental functional importance: the anti-codon, which is responsible for specific mRNA codon recognition, and the 3' end, to which the tRNAs corresponding amino acid is attached (by aminoacyl-tRNA synthetases). tRNAs cope with the degeneracy of the genetic code in two manners: having more than one tRNA (with a specific anti-codon) for a particular amino acid; and 'wobble' base-pairing, i.e. permitting non-standard base-pairing at the 3rd anti-codon position. The record is from RNAcentral. Lineage: Bacteria; Bacillati; Bacillota; Clostridia; Eubacteriales; Butyricicoccaceae.